GACGAACGCUGGCGGCGUGCUUAACACAUGCAAGUCGAACGGAAAGGCCCUGCUUGCAGGGUACUCGAGUGGCGAACGGGUGAGUAACACGUGGGUGAUCUGCCCUGCACUUCGGGAUAAGCCUGGUAAACUGGGUCUAAUACCGGAUAGGAGCCAUUUUUAGUGUGAUGGUUGGAAAGUUUUUUCGGUGUAGGAUGAGCUCGCGGCCUAACAGCUUGUUGGUGGGGUAAUGGCCUACCAAGGCGGCGACGGGUAGCCGGCCUGAGAGGGUGGACGGCCACCUUGGGACUGAGAUACGGCCCAGACUCCGACGGGAGGCAGAAGUGGGGAAUAUUGCACAAUGGGCGCAAGCCUGAUGCAGCGACGCCGCGUGGGGGAUGACGGCCUUCGGGUUGUAAACUCCUUUCGCUAGGGACGAAGCUUUUUGUGACGGUACCUAGAUAAGAAGCACCGGCUAACUACGUG
Molecule: ribosomal RNA, 465 nt
Filed under: uncultured bacterium
Lineage: Bacteria
Description: partial 16S ribosomal RNA
Rfam family: Bacterial small subunit ribosomal RNA
Source: RNAcentral